AGUAAUGCUUGGGAAUCUAGCCUAUGGAGGGGGAUAACUACGGGAAACUGUAGCUAAUACCGCGUAGAAUCGAGAGAUGAAAGUGUGGGACCUUCGGGCCACAUGCCAUAGGAUGAGCCCAAGUGGGAUUAGGUAGUUGGUGAGGUAAAGGCUCACCAAGCCGACGAUCUCUAGCUGGUCUGAGAGGAUGACCAGCCACACUGGGACUGAGACACGGCCCAG
RNAcentral lists this ribosomal RNA (222 nucleotides) under uncultured bacterium. RNAcentral describes it as "partial 16S ribosomal RNA". It matches the Rfam family "Bacterial small subunit ribosomal RNA", at positions 109 to 334 of the family's 1533-position model. The record is from RNAcentral.